GCAGACGAAGGCGAUGAAGUCCGCCGCAAACGCCCCGGGAUAGGUUCCAGGGCUGAUGACUUCUGUCCAACC
RNAcentral lists this non-coding RNA (72 nucleotides) under Deltaproteobacteria bacterium. RNAcentral describes it as "Fluoride sequence". It matches the Rfam family "Fluoride riboswitch aptamer (crcB RNA motif)". Lineage: Bacteria; Pseudomonadati; Myxococcota; Myxococcia. The record is from RNAcentral.